GUGGGGAAUCUUGCGCAAUGGGCGAAAGCCUGAUCCAGCCAUGCCGCGUGAGUGAUGAAGGCCCUAGGGUUGUAAAGCUCUUUCACCGAUGAAGAUAAUGACGGUAGUCGGAGAAGAAGCCCCGGCUAACUUCGUGCCAGCAGCCGCGGUAAUACGAAGGGGGCUAGCGUUGUUCGGAAUUACUGGGCGUAAAGCGCACGUAGGCGGAUAUUUAAGUCAGGGGUGAAAUCCCAGAGCUCAACUCUGGAACUGCCUUUGAUACUGGGUAUCUCGAGUAUGGAAGAGGUGAGUGGAAUUCCGAGUGUAGAGGUGAAAUUCGUAGAUAUUCGGAGGAACACCAGUGGCGAAGGCGGCUCACUGGUCCAUUACUGACGCUGAGGUGCGAAAGCGUGGGGAGCAAACAGGAUUAGAUACCCCAGUAGUCC
Molecule: ribosomal RNA, 425 nt
Filed under: uncultured bacterium
Lineage: Bacteria
Description: partial 16S ribosomal RNA
Rfam family: Bacterial small subunit ribosomal RNA
Source: RNAcentral